UGGCUCAGUAGAGCAUGGUGUUUGCAACGCCAGGGUUGUGGGUUUGAUUCCCAC
Molecule: transfer RNA, 54 nt
Filed under: Salmo salar (Atlantic salmon)
Lineage: Eukaryota; Metazoa; Chordata; Actinopteri; Salmoniformes; Salmonidae
Also listed under: 1 other name
Rfam family: tRNA
About the family: Transfer RNA (tRNA) molecules are approximately 80 nucleotides in length. Their secondary structure includes four short double-helical elements and three loops (D, anti-codon, and T loops).
Source: Rfam by way of RNAcentral